Molecule: ribosomal RNA, 497 nt
Filed under: uncultured bacterium
Lineage: Bacteria
Description: partial 16S ribosomal RNA
Rfam family: Bacterial small subunit ribosomal RNA
Source: RNAcentral
GAUGAACGCUGGCGGCGUGCCUAGUACAUGCAAGUCGAGCGAACGGACGAGAAUCUUGCUUCUCUGAUGUUAGCGGCGGACGUGUGAGUAACACGUGGAUAACCUACCUAUAAGACUGGGAUAACUUCGGGAAACCGGAGCUAAUACCGGAUGAUAUUUUGAACCGCAUGGUUCAAAAGUGAAAGACGGUCUUGCUGUCACUUAUCGAUGGAUCCGCGCUGCAUUAGCUAGUUGGUAAGGUAACGGCUUACCAAGGCAACGAUGCAUAGCCGACCUGAGAGGGGGAUAGGCCACACUGGAACUGAGACACGGUCAAGACGCCUACGGGAGGGAGCAGUAGGGAAUCGUAGGCAAUGGGGGAAAGCAUGACGGAGCAAGGCCGCGUGAGUGAUGAAGGUGUUCGGAUCGUAAAAAUCGGUUAUUAGGGAAGAACAUAUGUGUAAGUAACUGUGCACAGCGUGACGGUACCUAAUCAGAAAGCCACGGCUAACUACGUG